ACACACAGGAAGUUCCUAUUCUACCACAACAAACCGAUGUGUGAGUUAAUUUCUGAUGUGAAACAAACUAAAGUGUGUGAAAAUGGACUAAGAACAAACGAGGACCUGAGCCCUAGGACCAUGCCUUAGGACUACCUGACCUGAUGACUCCUUGCUGUCCCCAGUCCACCUGGUUGUGCUGCUGCUCCAGUUUGAACUGUUCUGCCUGCGGCUAUGGAACCCUGACCUGUUCACUGGACAUACUACCUUGUCCCAGACCUGCUGUUUUUAACUCUCUAAAGACAGCAAGAUCGGUAGAGAUACUCUGAAUGAUCGGCUAUGAAAAGCCAACUGACAUUUACUCCUGAGGUGCUGAGCGGCACCCUCUACAACUACUGUGAUUAUUAUUAUUUGACCCUGCUGGUCAUCUAUGAACAUUUGAACAUCUUGGCCAUGUUCUGUUAUAAUCUCCACUCAGCACUGCCAGAAGAGGACUGGCCACCCCUCAGCCUGGUUCCUCUCUAGGUUUCUUCCUAGGUUCUGGCCUUUUUAGGGAGUUUUUCCUUGCCACUGUGCUUCUACACCUGCAUUGCUUGCUGUUUGGGGUUUUAGGCUGGGUUUCUGUGCAGCACUUUAUGACAUCAGCUGAUGUAAGAAGGGCUUUAUAAAUACUUUUGAUUGAUUUUAACUCUUUUCAUUUGGGGAACUAUCAUUUUCAAAUGUGUUCUAUUUUAGUCCAUGAUAUUGUUGUUACAAAAUAGAUGUGUUGACUGAUUAGGGUAUGGGAAUAUAAGAACAUCUGCUAGGCUAAAUUAAACUAGGCAUGCAUAGCGCACCACAUGAUCCUCAAACCAAAGACUGGCCAAACUCGUGCUUCUAAAAGUGAAUUCAAUAAGGCGUUUUUCAGUUAAUUCCAAUCAGAAUAAGUUGUUCCCCACAAAAGGGCUUUCUUACAGACAGAAAUACCCUCCCCCCUCACCGGAUUUGGAGGUCCUGGGCUGGCGUGGUUACAAGGUGCACUUGUGUAAUGAUCAUGCUGUUUAUCAGCAUCUUGAUUUGCCACACCUGUCAGGUGGAUGGAUUACCUUGACAAAGGAUAAAAUGCUCACUAACAGGGAUGUAUACAAUUUGUGCACAAAAUUUUAGAGAAAUACACUUUUUUGUAGGCAUGGAACAUUUCUGGGAUCUUUUAUUUCAGCUCAAGAAACAUGGGACCAGUGUUUUAUUUAUGUUCACUGUAGCAUAAAAGAUCGAGUUAUAUAAUCAGGUCCAUUUUAAUUUAUUUUGAAAUCUUAAAUUAUCAACAUGUAGGCCUAUGCUUUUAGCUAUUUUCUUUAACAAAAGCCACAACAACCUCAUAACUCCUCAAUUCAAGACCUGUUUUUACCUUAACACGGCAAGCUCUUCACUGACACAGAUAUUUAAAGAGUGCAUGGUCACUGAAGUGAUUGGCUGACUAAAUCUAUGGAUGGUAGACUAUAAAUUAAUCUGUCAAACAGGUAGGCCUACCUGUUAUUUCUUGAAUAUGAAUCAGUUCUUAAACAAAGCACUCUUGUUAGUAGCCUAAAGUCAAAUGAAAAUGAAGACUAUUUAAAUGAAUUAGGUCUUCUUGAAUGAACCUACUUUCAGCAGCCAUGCGCUGUCCAUCUCCGCGGCUGCGGCUUCAUAGUAAUGUUUGUAAAUUACUCAGGUCAAUAACUCUGAUAAAUAGCUUCAUUAUGGGAAACUAAACAAAUGUUUUUAUUAAAAUGAUAGCGAGGUCAUCCUCUUCACGCUCUCCCUUCCAAACGGAACAGGACAUCAGUAGGUCUAGUCCGAGUGCACAGAUAUAGCUUUUUUUUUUUACGAAUUGACUGGCCUGAAGUGCCACCGUACACAGCACAUCCAUGAUUGGGAACGCCUAUCCAUUGCAUUGUGUAACGCAGUGUAGCCUAGUUUUAUGUACACCAUCUCAGCAGCGCAAAAACGUGGGAAGUACAUUAUUUUAGAAGCAUAGCUUUGCCCUGUGCUCUUCGUGUAGCCUAGGCCUAUAGUAUAGGCCAGCCUUUCUCAAACUAUUUUGUACCAGGGAUACCCAAGAGGGGUUUUCAACAGCCAGUCUGUUGCCAUAUUUUUAUUUUGUUGCAGCA
Molecule: long non-coding RNA, 2108 nt
Organism: Salmo salar (Atlantic salmon)
Lineage: Eukaryota; Metazoa; Chordata; Actinopteri; Salmoniformes; Salmonidae
Source: RefSeq, a predicted model, not a curated record